Molecule: ribosomal RNA, 303 nt
Filed under: uncultured bacterium
Lineage: Bacteria
Description: bacterial SSU rRNA
Rfam family: Bacterial small subunit ribosomal RNA
Source: RNAcentral
UUGGGAAUAUUGGACAAUGGAGGAAACUCUGAUCCAGUGACGCCGCGUGAAGGAAGAAGGUCUUCGGAUUGUAAACUUAUUUUGUCAGGGAAGAAAAAAAUGACUGUACCUGAAGAAAAAGCACCGGCUAACUACGUGCCAGCAGCCGCGGUAAUACGUAGGGUGCAAGCGUUAUCCGGAUUUACUGGGUGUAAAGGGCGAGUAGACGGCGUUGCAAGUCAGAUGUGAAAACCUAGGGCUCAACCGUAGGACUGCAUCUGAAACUGUAAUGCUAGAGUGCAGGAGAGGUAAGCGGAAUUCCUA